RNAcentral lists this ribosomal RNA (507 nucleotides) under Cafius mimulus. RNAcentral's name for it is "partial 16S ribosomal RNA". It matches the Rfam family "Bacterial large subunit ribosomal RNA", at positions 1829 to 2597 of the family's 2925-position model. Lineage: Eukaryota; Metazoa; Arthropoda; Insecta; Coleoptera; Staphylinidae. The record is from RNAcentral.
GUCCUUUUGUUUAUAAUUUAAGGUCUAACCUGCCCACUGAAUUUUUAAAGGCCGCGGUAUUUUGACCGUGCGAAGGUAGCAUAAUAAUUAGUUUUUUAAUUGAAAGCUGGAAUGAAUGGUUGAACGAGGAAAUAACUGUCUCUAUAUUAUUUUAAUAGAAUUUUAUUUUUAAGUAAAAAAGCUUAAAUGGGUUUAAAAGACGAGAAGACCCUAUAGAUUUUUACAGGGUCUUUUUUUAAGAAGUUUUAGGAUAUUUUUGUUUUAAUUUAAGAGUUUGUUUUAUUGGGGUGAUAGAAAAAUUAGAUUAACUUUUUUUAUAUAGUAACAUUAAUUUAUGAUUAAAUGAUCCAUAUUUUAUGAUUAUAAGAUUAAAUUACCUUAGGGAUAACAGCGUAAUUUUUUCUAAGAGUUCUUAUCGAAGAAGAAGAUUGCGACCUCGAUGUUGGAUUAAAGUUAAUGUUUGGUGUAGAAGCUAAAUAAUUGGGUCUGUUCGACCCUUAAAAUUUU